This 253-nucleotide ribosomal RNA is filed under the name uncultured bacterium. RNAcentral's name for it is "partial 16S ribosomal RNA". It matches the Rfam family "Bacterial small subunit ribosomal RNA", at positions 524 to 776 of the family's 1533-position model. The record is from RNAcentral.
UACGGAGGGAGCUAGCGUUGUUCGGAAUUACUGGGCGUAAAGCGCUCGCAGGUGGCCCGAUGCGUCGUGCGUGAAAGACCCCGGCUCAACUGGGGGGUGUCGUGCGAUACGGUCGGGCUGGAGGCCAGUAGGGGGAUGCGGAAUUCCGGGUGUAGUGGUGGAAUGCGUAGAGAUCCGGAGGAACACCAGCGGCGAAGGCGGCAUCCUGGACUGGUCCUGACACUCAUGAGCGAAAGCGUGGGGAGCGAUCCGG